UACGGAGGGUGCAAACGUUGCUCGGAAUCAUUGGGCGUAAAGCGCCCGUAGGCGGCCCAGCAAGUCGGGUGUGAAAGCCCUCGGCUUAACCGAGGAAGUGCAUUCGAAACUACUGAGCUUGAAUACUGGAGAGGAUCGCGGAAUUCCCGGUGUAGAGGUGAAAUUCGUAGAUAUCGGGAGGAACACCAGUGGCGAAGGCGGCGAUCUGGACAGAUAUUGACGCUGAGGUGCGAAAGCGUGGGGAGCAAACAGG
RNAcentral lists this ribosomal RNA (253 nucleotides) under uncultured bacterium. Its description in RNAcentral is "partial 16S ribosomal RNA". It matches the Rfam family "Bacterial small subunit ribosomal RNA", at positions 524 to 776 of the family's 1533-position model. The record is from RNAcentral.